Molecule: non-coding RNA, 89 nt
Organism: Triticum aestivum (bread wheat)
Lineage: Eukaryota; Viridiplantae; Streptophyta; Magnoliopsida; Poales; Poaceae
Source: Rfam
GAGCCGUAUGCGGUGAGAGUCGCACGUACGGUAAGGAGGGGGGUUCGCGUCUAUACCUGUAGUGUGGUGGUUGGGCCUACCCACCCUAU